Molecule: ribosomal RNA, 439 nt
Filed under: Paracalanus parvus
Lineage: Eukaryota; Metazoa; Arthropoda; Copepoda; Calanoida; Paracalanidae
Description: SSU rRNA
Rfam family: Eukaryotic small subunit ribosomal RNA
Source: RNAcentral
CUGCUAAAUAGUUUCUACUUCUCUUUUGAGUAGAAAUUUCUUCUUAGAGGGACUGGUGACUCUUAGUCACACGAGAUUGAGCAAUAACAGGUCUGUGAUGCCCUUAGAUGUUCUGGGCCGCACACGCGCUACACUGAAUAGAUCAGCGUGUCACCCUUCCCGAAAGGGACGGGUAAACGCUUGAACCCUAUUCGUGGUAGGGAUCGGGGCUUGCAAUUGUUCCCCGUGAACCAGGAAUUCCCAGUAGGCGCAAGUCAUAAGCUUGCGUCGAUUACGUCCCUGCCCUUUGUACACACCGCCCGUCGCUACUACCGAUUGAACAUUUUAGUGAGGUCCUCGGACUGUGAGCCAGGCGGGUCGCCCUGCCUGGUCUACGGGAAGACGACCAAACUGUAGUGUUUAGAGGAAGUAAAAGUCGUAACAAGGUAUCCGUAGGUGA